UCUCUUACAGGCAAUCGGUAAAUUGAUCUCCCUGUGCAAAAGCAGGGAUAACCCCAUAAGACGAGAAGACCCUGUGGAACUUAAAAAUCAGCAACCAACCCUAAAACAUACACCCCCACCCCGGGCUCACCCACCACAUAGGGCCACUGGUCUGCAUUUUUCGGUUGGGGCGACCUUGGAGCAAAACAAAUCCUCCAAAUAUUGGACCACUCCUCCAAACCGAGAGCAACCCCUCAACGUGCUAAUAGCACCCAGACCCAAUAUAAUUGAUCAAUGGACCAAGCUACCCCAGGGAUAACAGCGCAAUCUCCCCCAAGAGUCCUUAUCGACGGGGAGGUUUACGACCUCGAUGUUGGAUCAGGACAUCCUAGUGGUG
This 376-nucleotide ribosomal RNA is filed under the name Periparus ater (Coal Tit). RNAcentral's name for it is "partial 16S ribosomal RNA". It matches the Rfam family "Bacterial large subunit ribosomal RNA", at positions 2019 to 2555 of the family's 2925-position model. Lineage: Eukaryota; Metazoa; Chordata; Aves; Passeriformes; Paridae. The record is from RNAcentral.